RNAcentral lists this unclassified non-coding RNA (342 nucleotides) under soil metagenome. RNAcentral's name for it is "partial contains 5.8S ribosomal RNA, internal transcribed spacer 2, and large subunit ribosomal RNA". The stretch from base 1 to 120 matches the Rfam family "5.8S ribosomal RNA", at positions 35 to 154 of the family's 154-position model. The record is from RNAcentral.
GAUGAAGAACGUAGCGAAAUGCGAUAAGUAGUGUGAAUUGCAGAAUUCAGUGAAUCAUCGAAACUUUGAACGCACAUUGCGGCCAUAGGUAUUCCUUUGGCCAUGCCUGUUCGAGCGUCAUUUACACCCUCAAGCCUAGCUUGGUGUUGGGCGCCUGUCCCGCCGUUUUCGCGCGCGGACUCGCCUCAAAGUCAUUGGCGGCGGUCGUGCCGGCCCCCUCGCGCAGCACAUUUGCGCUUCUCGGAGGCCCGGCGGAUCCGCGCUCCAGCAAGACCUUUCACGACUUGACCUCGGAUCAGGUAGGGAUACCCGCUGAACUUAAGCAUAUCAAUAAGCGGAGGA